AGGCUUUGCCUGCUAUCUCUUACCCAUGUCUUUUGAGUACCUUCGUUUCCUCGGCGGGUCCGCCCGCCGAUUGGACAAUUUAAACCAUUUGCAGUUGCAAUCAGCGUCUGAAAAAACUUUAAUAGUUACAACUUUCAACAACGGAUCUCUUGGUUCUGGCAUCGAUGAAGAACGCAGCGAAAUGCGAUAAGUAGUGUGAAUUGCAGAAUUCAGUGAAUCAUCGAAUCUUUGAACGCACAUUGCGCCCCUUGGUAUUCCAUGGGGCAUGCCUGUUCGAGCGUCAUUUGUACCUUCAAGCUCUGCUUGGUGUUGGGUGUUUGUCUCGCCUCUGCGCGUAGACUCGCCUCAAAACAAUUGGCAGCCGGCGUAUUGAUUUCGGAGCGCAGUACAUCUCGCGCUUUGCAUUCAGAACGACGACGUCCAAAAGUACAUUUUUACACUCUUGACCUCGGAUCAGGUAGGGAU
RNAcentral lists this ribosomal RNA (465 nucleotides) under Didymella pinodella. Its description in RNAcentral is "eukaryotic LSU rRNA". The stretch from base 130 to 283 matches the Rfam family "5.8S ribosomal RNA". Lineage: Eukaryota; Fungi; Ascomycota; Dothideomycetes; Pleosporales; Didymellaceae. The record is from RNAcentral.